GACGAACGCUGGCGGCGUGCUUAACACAUGCAAGUCGAACGGAAAGGCCCUGCUUUUGUGGGGUGCUCGAGUUGCGAACGGGUGAGUAACACGUGAGUAACCUGCCCUUGACUUUGGGAUAACUUCAGGAAACUGGGGCUAAUACCGGAUAGGAGCUCCUGCGGCAUGGUGGGGGUUGGAAAGUUUCGGCGGUUGGGGAUGGACUCGCGGCUUAUCAGCUUGUUGGUGGGGUAGUGGCUUACCAAGGCUUUGACGGGUAGCCGGCCUGAGAGGGUGACCGGCCACAUUGGGACUGAGAUACGGCCCAGACUCCUACGGUAGGCAGCAGUGGGGAAUAUUGCACAAUGGGCGGAAGCCUGAUGCAGCAACGCCGCGUGCGGGAUGACGGCCUUCGGGUUGUAAACCGCUUUCGCCUGUGACGAAGCGUGAGUGACGGUAAUGGGUAAAGAAGCACCGGCUAACUACGUG
This 468-nucleotide ribosomal RNA is filed under the name uncultured bacterium. RNAcentral describes it as "partial 16S ribosomal RNA". It matches the Rfam family "Bacterial small subunit ribosomal RNA", at positions 28 to 507 of the family's 1533-position model. The record is from RNAcentral.